Molecule: transfer RNA, 64 nt
Filed under: Isometopus sp.
Lineage: Eukaryota; Metazoa; Arthropoda; Insecta; Hemiptera; Miridae
Description: tRNA-Asn
Source: RNAcentral
UUGGUUGAAGCCAAAAUAGAGGCAAUUCAUUGUUAAUGAAAAAAUUGAUAAAAAUCUAACCAAA